RNAcentral lists this unclassified non-coding RNA (392 nucleotides) under soil metagenome. RNAcentral's name for it is "partial contains 5.8S ribosomal RNA, internal transcribed spacer 2, and large subunit ribosomal RNA". The stretch from base 1 to 122 matches the Rfam family "5.8S ribosomal RNA", at positions 35 to 154 of the family's 154-position model. The record is from RNAcentral.
GAUGAAGAACGUAGCGAAAUGCGAUACUUGGUGUGAAUUGCAGAAUCCCGUGAACCAUCGAGUCUUUGAACGCAAGUUGCGCCCGAAGCCAUUAGGCCGAGGGCACGCCUGCCUGGGCGUCACACGUCGUUGCCCCCCCAUCUACUCCUUCGGGAUUGCGGGGGGCGGAUGAUGGCCUCCCGUGCGCCUCGUCGCGCGGUUGGCAUAAAUGCCAAGUCCUCGGCGACGCACGCCACGACAAUCGGUGGUUGCGAAACCUCGGUUGCCCGUCGUGUGCGGUCGUCGCGCAUCGAGGGCUCGAAAAAAUUGUCGGGCUCCGGCUCGGCUUUCAACGCGACCCCAGGUCAGGCGGGGUUACCCGCUGAAUUUAAGCAUAUCAAUAAGCGGGAGGA